Long non-coding RNA from Chiroxiphia lanceolata (lance-tailed manakin), 119 nucleotides. RefSeq lists it as uncharacterized. The record is from RefSeq and is a predicted model, not a curated record. The transcript has 2 exons. NCBI's taxonomy places the organism in Eukaryota, Metazoa, Chordata, Aves, Passeriformes, Pipridae.
UACAGAACUGGUCUGUUCCCUUCGGACAAAGCUGACGUUCUCUUCUUUAUUUUCACAUUGCUGACUGAAGUGUCUUCAUUUGGCAGUGUGACAAUUUGGAGUAGAUUGUAUGAGAAAGA